Aethalodelphis obliquidens (Pacific white-sided dolphin) is the source of this 425-nucleotide long non-coding RNA. RefSeq lists it as uncharacterized. The record is from RefSeq and is a predicted model, not a curated record. The transcript is spliced from 3 exons. NCBI's taxonomy places the organism in Eukaryota, Metazoa, Chordata, Mammalia, Artiodactyla, Delphinidae.
UGGGAGCGAAGCUCCUGGGCUGGGUGCAUGGGCGUGAGAAGAGUUUUACAGGGUCUUCCUCGGUGCCUUCUAAUCGGCGAGCUGUUUCCUUUGGCUGUGAUUCAAGGCUGAGGUCAGCCGUUCCCUUCACUGACCCGAGCCCGACCGAAGAGGUCGUCACCUCCUCCGCGCUGCAGUCGUCCCCGCCUUCUCCUUUGUGAAUUUUUGCCAUCCUGAAUUGGGGCACUGAGCGUCCAGGGUCUUCACUCUAAAAGUUUGUUCUUUUCCUGUAAGGUGGCAAACUCAGCUUUGAAUGGGGGCAACUGUUUGCUGAAGUGUGAUGUGUGAAGAGGUAGGAGGAAAUGAGCUUGAGCAUCUCAGAAGCUUCAAUUCAGGCCUCUCACUGUUGUGGCCUCUCCCGUUGCGGAGCACAGGCUCCGGACGCA